CCUCCUCGGAGGCCCCGAGUGGCAUUCUAAUAAAGUAUCAUGUUUUUAUAGGCGCACUGUAACCCCUGCAUUUCCCCAAUGGUGGAUUCGUGAGGAGUGCGGGGAGCAAACUGGAGAGGCUCGUCAUGGAAUGGCGCACACAUUGUCCGCGUGCCAUUCCCUGCAACAUGAAAGCCUAUCGUCUUUUCCAUGUAAUAGAUAAUGCCACCAGCAGCAUGCCCAUGCGUCAGCGGGGCCGGUGCAGUUGCGCACCAGCAGCAGUUUCUCCAGUUACCCAACAUCUCCAAAGGAUGGCACCAUUUCCAAGGUCUUAAGACACUGGGCAGCCGUCUCUCCUCAGGAGCCUCAGACCAACCUGCAUCGACCUCUUCAUCCCUGGGCCCUUCACUGAGGCCCCUGCUCGAGACUGACCUUUAAUAAACCUGGUGAGCGUGUACGGCAGAGUCUGCAGCGUGGCAUACGCGUAGCCAGUGAGCGCUGCCAUGACAGUGACCAGGACCACACUCUUGGACAGGCAGAUGACCAGAGCAGAGAGCGUGAAGCUCACCAUGCUGCUCACGUACACCCAGCGGGAGCCAAAGUGCCGAACCAAGCGACUCAUGGCCAGGGAGAAGAAGGUUGAGGUAGCACACUGCAGGAACAGGCCCAGGCUGCCCAUACGGAUACCUGAGAGCAGAGGGAACCACACAUUACAACCAGGAGGUUCACAGCUGUUACAGUGACGGAAACUCUGUCCUGUGUUUCAGAAAAUAUCUCAUGUUCUGCCUUUGUUGCCUCCGCUAAGGAAGUUGUGUUUUCACCUGCAGGCAUUUGUAGUUUGAUAGUUUGUUAGCAGGAUAAUGCAAAAACUACCCAAUUGAUUUCUAUGAAACUUUGUGGAGGGGUGGGGCAUGACCUGAAGAAGAACACAUAACAUUAUGGUGUGGAUACAGAUCAAGGGGCAGAUCAAGGAAUCAUUAAUUUCCCAGAGAAUAAUUAAUGGGUCUUGAUGAAAAAAAAAAUCUGGCAUAUUAAAGGCACUGAUAUUUAUGAGUGAGUCUAAUUCCGUGCAGAUCCAAAUAGAAAUCUGGAUCUACAGAAUGUAAAUGUAGUUUGGGGAGAUAUGUGCUCUACUGAGUUUCUUUCUAUGAACACAUCUAGUGAAGUACAGCCACACUGAUUUUUUAAGGUGAUUCCCAUAUUAGGAAGUGAAAAAUGUCCAAUAUCGAUACAUUAGCUGAUAUAUAAAUAUAUAUAUAUACAAUUGGCCAUGAUUUCAAACAUGUUUUUAUAAAACUCUUAUGACAAAAGGGAAAUUGAGGUUUGACAUUUUAAAGUCUAACCAAAAGCUUUAUUAUAAAUAACUAGAAAUAAAAAGAAAACACAACCAAAUAUAUAGAACUUGAAUUCAGAAAAGAAUCCCCGGCAAAGAUCCGGUUAGAGAGUCACUCACAGAGCUGCUCAGCACGGAGACACAUCACAAACAUCAUUAACCUUAGAUAAAUCCUUGAAAAACCCAAGAGGCCGGACCGUGUUUACCGAGGCGCCGUGCCUCCCGGCCCCGCGUCUGGCCCGGUGAGCCAGCCAGACAACAAACGUGUGGAUGAGGUCUCACCGACAGG
This is a long non-coding RNA of Hippoglossus stenolepis (Pacific halibut), 1601 nucleotides long. RefSeq lists it as uncharacterized. The transcript has 2 exons. The record is from RefSeq and is a predicted model, not a curated record. Lineage: Eukaryota; Metazoa; Chordata; Actinopteri; Pleuronectiformes; Pleuronectidae.